UUUAACCAUAGAAGCUUGCAUUUAGGCCAAAGCCAUAGCUUGAUACUAUGCUUCUACACUUGAUCUGGUCGCCAUAUCUUGGCUUUUACUUUUUCAAGAUAUUAGAUUCCCCGCAAUUAGAAUGCGAUGCCCUAAAGUAGACCUUCUAUCUGAAGGGAAUCUUGCUCACUUGGUUGAUGUAGCUCAAGGAAUUAAGCCAGUGUUAUUAAGGCGAG
Molecule: unclassified non-coding RNA, 215 nt
Filed under: Hevea brasiliensis (rubber tree)
Lineage: Eukaryota; Viridiplantae; Streptophyta; Magnoliopsida; Malpighiales; Euphorbiaceae
Source: RNAcentral